UGGUUUGUCGCGUUGUUCGUGAAAUCUCACGGCUUAACUGUGAGCGUGCGGGCGAUACGGGCAGACUUGAGUACUGCAGGGGAGACUGGAAUUCCUGGUGUAGCGGUGGAAUGCGCAGAUAUCAGGAGGAACACCGGUGGCGAAGGCGGGUCUCUGGGCAGUAACUGACGCUGAGGAGCGAAAGCGUGGGGAGCGAACAGGAUUAGAUACCCUGGUAGUCCACGCCGUAAACGGUGGGUACUAGGUGUGGGUUUCCUUCCUUGGGAUCCGUGCCGUAGCUAACGCAUUAAGUACCCCGCCUGGGGAGUACGGCCGCAAGGCUAAAACUCAAAGAAAUUGACGGGGGCCCGCACAAGCGGCGGAGCAUGUGGAUUAAUUCGAUGCAACGCGAAGAACCUUACCUGGGUUUGACAUGCACAGGACGCCGGCAGAGAUGUCGGUUCCCUUGUGGCCUGUGUGCAGGUGGUGCAUGGCUGUCGUCAGCUCGUGUCGUGAGAUGUUGGGUUAAGUCCCGCAACGAGCGCAACCCUUGUCUCAUGUUGCCAGCGGGUAAUGCCGGGGACUCGUGAGAGACUGCCGGGGUCAACUCGGAGGAAGGUGGGGAUGACGUCAAGUCAUCAUGCCCCUUAUGUCCAGGGCUUCACACAUGCUACAAUGGCCGGUACAAAGGGCUGCGAUGCCGCGAGGUUAAGCGAAUCCUUUUAAAGCCGGUCUCAGUUCGGAUCGGGGUCUGCAACUCGACCCCGGAAGUCGGAGUCGCU
This 761-nucleotide ribosomal RNA is filed under the name uncultured Mycobacterium sp. Its description in RNAcentral is "bacterial SSU rRNA". It matches the Rfam family "Bacterial small subunit ribosomal RNA", at positions 576 to 1336 of the family's 1533-position model. Lineage: Bacteria; Bacillati; Actinomycetota; Actinomycetes; Mycobacteriales; Mycobacteriaceae. The record is from RNAcentral.